UGGGGAAUAUUGGACAAUGGGGGAAACCCUGAUCCAGCAAUGCCGCGUGAGUAAAGAAGGCCUUAGGGUUGUAAAGCUCUUUCUCCCGCGAAGAUAAUGACGGUAGCGGGAGAAGAAGCCCCGGCUAACUCAGUGCCAGCAGCCGCGGUAAUACGGAGGGGGCUAGCGUUGUUCGGAAUUACUGGGCGUAAAGCGUACGUAGGCGGAUGCGCAAGUUGGGGGUGAAAUCCCGGGGCUUAACCUCGGAAUUGCCCUCAAAACUGCACGUCUUGAGACCGAGAGAGGUAAGGUGAAUUCCUAGUGUAGAGGGGAAAUUCGUAGAUAUUAGGAAGAACACCAGUGGCGAAGGCGCCUUACUGGCUCGGUACUGACGCUGAGGUACGAAAG
This 387-nucleotide ribosomal RNA is filed under the name uncultured bacterium. RNAcentral's name for it is "bacterial SSU rRNA". It matches the Rfam family "Bacterial small subunit ribosomal RNA", at positions 355 to 759 of the family's 1533-position model. The record is from RNAcentral.